UCCCCCCUAUUAGAAGGUCCAUCCUGCCCAGUGACGUACGCGUUAAACGGCCGCGGUACCCUAACCGUGCUAAGGUAGCAUAAUCACUUGCCUUUUAAUUGGAGGCUUGUAUGAACGGACACACGAAAGUAAUGCUGUCUCAUUUACACCCAUAAAAAUUAACCUUUAGGUGAAGAGGCCUAAAUUAUAUAAAAAGACGAAAAGACCCUGUGGAGCUUAACUUUUAACACCUUACUUCUAAUUUUUAAAAUAUUCUUUAAGGGUAAAAGUUUAGUUGGGGCGACUAAGGAGCACAAUAAACCCUCCUUUCUACUCUACGGAAGUAAUCCACUUAAUAAUCCAUCUUGACAUGAAUAUAGAAUCAGCUACCCCAGGGAUAACAGGCUAAUCCUUCUUAAGAGCCCAAAUCAACAGAAGGGGUUGGCACCUCGAUGUUGGCUUAAGGUUUCACCAAGGUGUAGCAGCUUUGGUAGUGGGUUUGUUCAACCCUUAAAACCUUACGUGAUCUGAGUCAAACCGGA
Molecule: ribosomal RNA, 521 nt
Filed under: Prionospio sp. A ZW-2021
Lineage: Eukaryota; Metazoa; Annelida; Polychaeta; Spionida; Spionidae
Description: partial large subunit ribosomal RNA
Rfam family: Bacterial large subunit ribosomal RNA
Source: RNAcentral